AUUAUGUCUUGACCCAAUGUUUUGAAAUGCACGUUUCCUAUCUUAUCUUUCUAAAACAGGAGGACACUUUCGUUUGAACAAACAAUUUUGUAUUCAUACCAAAGCUUAUACGCGUAGUUCAGUAAAGAAAGGCACCGGAAUUAUGCUGAAAGCUUUCUUCAAAAGAACCGUUUGGUUGCUAUGGUUACUAGAUGUUACAUUCGCAGACUAUGACUGUAUGUGUAAUUAUAACGUAGAGACACCUGUUUACGCCACCGCUGUUACCGGUAGUCAACCACUGGGGUACCUUUACGAAUUUGAUUGCAAACCGUUAGCCGCAAAUACACAGAACACAAAUAACUUUUAUACAGUGCAAUUUGAGAAACAGCUUGGUUAUGUUGAGAAGAACGCCCAAGAAAAAAUUCAGAUGUGCCCAGGACAUCCCCCGCGUGCUGAUUUAA
Molecule: long non-coding RNA, 440 nt
Organism: Ruditapes philippinarum (Manila clam)
Lineage: Eukaryota; Metazoa; Mollusca; Bivalvia; Venerida; Veneridae
Exons: 3
Source: RefSeq, a predicted model, not a curated record